CGCUGAACUUAAGCAUAUCAGUAAGCGGAGGAAAAGAAACUAACAAGGAUUGCCUCAGUAACGGCGAGUGAACAGGCAAAAGCUCAAAUUGUAAAUCUAUGGUUUCCGAUCAUAGAAUUGUAAUCUAAAAGAUUUUCGCAGAAGGAUAGGUUUUCGCAUAACGCCCUGAAAAGGGUGGUCAUAGAGGGUGAUAACCCCGUAGUUGGCGAAAAACCUACCGUAUGCGGGGAUUCGAAGAGUCGGGUUGUUUGGGGACUGCAGCCCUAAUUGGGGAGAUAAAACUUCUUCUAAGGCUAAAUAUUGAUGUGAGACCGAUAGCAAACAAGUACCGUGAGGGAAAGGUGAAAAGAACUUUGAAAAGAGAGUUAAAAGUACUUAGAAAUUGUUAACAGGGAAACGAUAUAAUCCUUUAUACUAUUUGAAUUGAAUCAAUUUUAUCUAUAUUUAUUUGUAGUAUUUAUAAUUGUCUUGCUUUAUGGAUAUUACUGUAAGUUGAUAGGAUGCAC
This 506-nucleotide ribosomal RNA is filed under the name uncultured eukaryote. RNAcentral describes it as "eukaryotic LSU rRNA". It matches the Rfam family "Eukaryotic large subunit ribosomal RNA", at positions 26 to 532 of the family's 3401-position model. The record is from RNAcentral.